RNAcentral lists this ribosomal RNA (301 nucleotides) under uncultured bacterium. RNAcentral describes it as "partial 16S ribosomal RNA". It matches the Rfam family "Bacterial small subunit ribosomal RNA", at positions 509 to 807 of the family's 1533-position model. The record is from RNAcentral.
CAGUAGCCGCGGGAAUACGUAGGGUGCGAGCGUUAAUCGGAAUUACUGGGCGUAAAGCGUGCGCAGGCGGUUGUGUAAGACAGGUGUGAAAUCCCCGGGCUUAGCCUGGGAACUGCGCUUGUGACUGCACAGCUAGAGUAUGGCAGAGGGGGGUGGAAUUCCACGUGUAGCAGUGAAAUGCGUAGAGAUGUGGAGGAACACCGAUGGUGAAGGCAGCCCCCUGGGCCAAUACUGACGCUCAUGCACGAAAGCGUGGGGAGCAAACAGGAUUAGAUACCCGGGUAGUCCCUGUCUCUUAUAC